This 497-nucleotide ribosomal RNA is filed under the name uncultured bacterium. Its description in RNAcentral is "partial 16S ribosomal RNA". It matches the Rfam family "Bacterial small subunit ribosomal RNA", at positions 28 to 507 of the family's 1533-position model. The record is from RNAcentral.
GAUGAACGCUGGCGGCGUGCCUAAUACAUGCAAGUCGAGCGAACGGACGAGAAGCUUGCUUCUCUGAUGUUAGCGGCGGACGGGUGAGUAACACGUGGAUAACCUACCUAUAAGACUGGGAUAACUUCGGGAAACCGGAGCUAAUACCGGAUGAUAUUUUGAACCGCAUGGUUCAAAAGUGAAAGACGGUCUUGCUGUCACUUAUAGAUGGAUCCGCGCUGCAUUAGCUAGUUGGUAAGGUAACGGCUUACCAAGGCAACGAUGCAUAGCCGACCUGGGAGGGUGAUCAGCAACACAGGAACUGAAACACGAUCCGUAUUCCUACGGAGGGCAGCAGUAGGGAAGCUUCCGCAAUGGGCGAAAGCCGUACGGAGUAACGCCGCGUGAGUGAUGAAGGUCUUCGGAUCGUAAAACUCUGUUAUUAGGGAAGAACAUUUGUGUAAGUAACUGUGCACAUCUUGACGGUACCUAAUCAGAAAGCCACGGCUAACUACGUG